Molecule: ribosomal RNA, 517 nt
Filed under: uncultured bacterium
Lineage: Bacteria
Description: bacterial SSU rRNA
Rfam family: Bacterial small subunit ribosomal RNA
Source: RNAcentral
CACCUACGGGUGGCAGCAGUGGGGAAUAUUGCACAAUGGGCGGAAGCCUGAUGCAGCAACGCCGCGUGAGGGAUGACGGCCUUCGGGUUGUAAACCUCUUUUAGCAGGGAAGAAGCGUGAGUGACGGUACCUGCAGAAAAAGCGCCGGCUAACUACGUGCCAGCAGCCGCGGUAAUACGUAGGGCGCAAGCGUUAUCCGGAAUUAUUGGGCGUAAAGAGCUCGUAGGCGGUUUGUCGCGUCUGCUGUGAAAUCCCGAGGCUCAACCUCGGGCCUGCAGUGGGUACGGGCAGACUAGAGUGCGGUAGGGGAGAUUGGAAUUCCUGGUGUAGCGGUGGAAUGCGCAGAUAUCAGGAGGAACACCGAUGGCGAAGGCAGAUCUCUGGGCCGUAACUGACGCUGAGGAGCGAAAGGGUGGGGAGCAAACAGGCUUAGAUACCCUGGUAGUCCACCCCGUAAACGUUGGGAACUAGUUGUGGGGUCCAUUCCACGGAUUCCGUGACGCAGCUAACGCAUUAA